AGCGGAGGAAAAGAAACUAACAAGGAUUCCCCUAGUAACGGCGAGUGAAGAGGGAAGAGCUCAAAUUUUAAAUCUGCCUUGUUCCAAGGUCGAGUUGUAAUUUGAAGAAGCGUUUUCUUGGGCUCGCGGCCGGUAGAAGUUCUUUGGAACAGGACAUCAUAGAGGGUGACAAUCCCGUCCGUGACCGGUCGUGCGUUCAUCUACGAUACGCUUUCAAAGAGUCGAGUUGUUUGGGAUUGCAGCUCCAAACGGGUGGUAAACAUCACCUAAGGCUAAAUAUUGGCGAGAGACCGAUAGCGAACAAGUACCGUGAGGGAAAGAUGAAAAGAACUUUGAAAAGAGAGUUAAACAGUACGUGAAAUUGUUGAAAGGGAAACGAUUGAAGUCAGUCGUGCUGGCGCGAAAUCAACCCUCUCGUCUUGAGAUCACAUGGCGCGACGAGCCUCAAAACCGUCACGAAGCGUGAACUCUUGACGAAAAGGUGCACUUUCGUGUCCGCUGGUUAACAUCAAUUUCGAACGUCAUAAAAAGGCUGGAGGGAUGUGGCUCCUUCGGGAGUGUUAUAACCUUUAGCGGAAUGUGGCGUUCGGGAUUGAGGAUUGCAACGAAUACCUUCAGGGCUGUUCCACCUGGCUUCUCAUUGGUAUCCUGGUGACGACAGCUUGCUGACGUCGUUAGGAUCAGCUUCUGAACAGGCUAGAGUGUGAGCAAAUUCGUWAAGGAUGUUAACGUAAUGGCUUUAAACGACCCGUCUUG
Molecule: ribosomal RNA, 756 nt
Filed under: Glomeromycotina sp. OTU31 DJMC-2012
Lineage: Eukaryota; Fungi; Glomeromycota
Description: eukaryotic LSU rRNA
Rfam family: Eukaryotic large subunit ribosomal RNA
Source: RNAcentral